RNAcentral lists this ribosomal RNA (563 nucleotides) under uncultured bacterium. RNAcentral's name for it is "partial 16S ribosomal RNA". It matches the Rfam family "Bacterial small subunit ribosomal RNA", at positions 355 to 907 of the family's 1533-position model. The record is from RNAcentral.
UGGGGAAUAUUGCACAAUGGGCGCAAGCCUGAUGCAGCCAUGCCGCGUGUGUGAAGAAGGCCUUCGGGUUGUAAAGCACUUUCAGCGAGGAGGAAGGUGGUGAGCUUAAUACGCUCAUCAAUUGACGUUACUCGCAGAAGAAGCACCGGCUAACUCCGUGCCAGCAGCCGCGGUAAUACGGAGGGUGCAAGCGUUAAUCGGAAUUACUGGGCGUAAAGCGCACGCAGGCGGUUUGUUAAGUCAGAUGUGAAAUCCCCGGGCUCAACCUGGGAACUGCAUUUGAAACUGGCAAGCUAGAGUCUCGUAGAGGGGGGUAGAAUUCCAGGUGUAGCGGUGAAAUGCGUAGAGAUCUGGAGGAAUACCGGUGGCGAAGGCGGCCCCCCUGGACGAAGACUGACGCUCAGGUGCGAAAGCGUGGGGCAGCAAACAGGAUUAGAUACCCUGGUAGUCCAGCGCUGUAAACGAUGUCGAUUUGGAGGUUGUGCCCUUGAGGCGUGGCUUCCGGAGCUAACGCGUUAAAUCGACCGCCUGGGGAGUACGGCCGCAAGGUUAAAACUCAAAGG